AAAUGCGGAAGAGAUAAGUGCUGAAAGCAUCUAAGCACGAAACUUGCCCCGAGAUGAGUUCUCCCUGAGACUUAGAGUCUCCUGAAGGAACGUUGAAGACGACGACGUUGAUAGGCCGGGUGUGUAAGCGCAGCGAUGCGUUGAGCUAACCGGUACUAAUGAACCGUGAGGCUUAACCUUACAACGCCGAAGCUGUU
RNAcentral lists this ribosomal RNA (197 nucleotides) under Salmonella enterica. RNAcentral's name for it is "partial 23S ribosomal RNA". It matches the Rfam family "Bacterial large subunit ribosomal RNA", at positions 2751 to 2925 of the family's 2925-position model. Lineage: Bacteria; Pseudomonadati; Pseudomonadota; Gammaproteobacteria; Enterobacterales; Enterobacteriaceae. The record is from RNAcentral.